UGAAAAUUAAAGAAUUCACAAACAAAACCUCAACAAUGAAUUGCGUUUUUAUCGGUAUAAUCGAUAUUUCCUAAGCAUCGAUGUUUCUUUGGCCACUAUCGUUAGUUUUGAACGUAUCUACAUUGAAGAAAACGUGUAAGAACAAUUGGGCUUUGUAUCUCAUUUUCAUUUAUUUUAUUAAGUCCUUGAUCACAUGAAAAAAAUUUCAAUAAUUUAAAAAGGAACGGUGGACUUGGAUGUAGGCGUAAAUAGCGCUGGGCAAACAAGUGAAAAUGUAUACACACAUGCUAACAUCGACUGACGAUAUGGAGAAAGAAAUGGAGAUUGAAGUACAGCAUACGACAAAACGCAAAAGGAAAACAUCGCUGGUUUGGAAGGUCUUAAAUAAAUGUAAAGAGAGCAAUAUGUCGAUAUGCAAUCAGAUUGCAUCCGAAAGAAGAUGCGAAUCAAAAUCAAAUUUCUUUGAUAAGCUCUUGUUCUUUAAGAAGAAUCAAACACAUGUCUAAAAAAUAAACUUGUUUAUUGUUGGUUUUA
Molecule: long non-coding RNA, 534 nt
Organism: Drosophila biarmipes
Lineage: Eukaryota; Metazoa; Arthropoda; Insecta; Diptera; Drosophilidae
Exons: 2
Source: RefSeq, a predicted model, not a curated record